AGAGCGAACGCUGGCGGCAGGCUUAACACAUGCAAGUCGAGCGGGCGUAGCAAUACGUCAGCGGCAGACGGGUGAGUAACGCGUGGGAACAUACCUUUUGGUUCGGAACAACACAGGGAAACUUGUGCUAAUACCGGAUAAGCCCUUACGGGGAAAGAUUUAUCGCCGAAAGAUUGGCCCGCGUCUGAUUAGCUAGUUGGUGAGGUAACGGCUCACCAAGGCGACGAUCAGUAGCUGGUCUGAGAGGAUGAUCAGCCACAUUGGGACUGAGACACGGCCCAAACUCCUACGGGAGGCAGCAGUGGGGAAUAUUGGACAAUGGGCGCAAGCCUGAUCCAGCCAUGCCGCGUGAGUGAUGAAGGCCCUAGGGUUGUAAAGCUCUUUUGUGCGGGAAGAUAAUGACGGUACCGCAAAGAAUAAGCCCCGGCUAACUUCGUGCCAGCAGCCGC
RNAcentral lists this ribosomal RNA (449 nucleotides) under uncultured bacterium. RNAcentral's name for it is "SSU rRNA". It matches the Rfam family "Bacterial small subunit ribosomal RNA", at positions 26 to 518 of the family's 1533-position model. The record is from RNAcentral.